UGGGGAAUAUUGGACAAUGGGCGAAAGCCUGAUCCAGCCAUGCCGCGUGAGUGAUGAAGGCCCUAGGGUUGUAAAGCUCUUUCAACGGUGAAGAUAAUGACGGUGACCGUAGAAGAAGCCCCGGCUAACUUCGUGCCAGCAGCCGCGGUAAUACGAAGGGGGCUAGCGUUGUUUGGAAUUACUGGGCGUAAAGCGCACGUAGGCGGACAUUUAAGUCAGGGGUGAAAUCCCGGGGCUCAACCCCGGAACUGCCUUUGAUACUGGGUGUCUAGAGUCCGGAAGAGGUGAGUGGAAUUCCGAGUGUAGAGGUGAAAUUCGUAGAUAUUCGGAGGAACACCAGUGGCGAAGGCGGCUCACUGGUCCGGUACUGACGCUGAGGUGCGAAAGCGUGGGGAGCAAACA
RNAcentral lists this ribosomal RNA (402 nucleotides) under uncultured bacterium. RNAcentral's name for it is "bacterial SSU rRNA". It matches the Rfam family "Bacterial small subunit ribosomal RNA", at positions 355 to 774 of the family's 1533-position model. The record is from RNAcentral.